CUGCUGCCUCCCGUAGGAGUCUGGUCCGUGUCUCAGUUCCAAUGUGGGGGACCUUCCUCUCAGAACCCCUACGCAUCGUCGGCUUGGUGGGCCGUUGCCCCACCAACUACCUAAUGCGCCGCAUGCCCAUCCGUGACCGGGGUCGCCCCCUUUGGCCGGCAGGGGAUGUCCCCUCCCGGCAUUAUGUUGUAUUAGGCGGGAUUUCUCCCGGUUAUCCAUCUGUCACGGCCAGGUUGCAUACGUGUUACUCACCCGUGCGCCGGUCGCCGGCGG
RNAcentral lists this ribosomal RNA (273 nucleotides) under uncultured bacterium. RNAcentral's name for it is "partial 16S ribosomal RNA". The record is from RNAcentral.